UUAUCGGAAUUGGAUGAGCCCGCGUAAGAUUAGCUAGUUGGUGGGGUAACGGCCUACCAAGGCGACGAUCUUUAGCUGGUCUGAGAGGAUGAUCAGCCACACUGGGACUGAGACACGGCCCAGACUCCUACGGGAGGCAGCAGUGGGGAAUAUUGGACAAUGGGCGCAAGCCUGAUCCAGCAAUACCGCGUGUGUGAAGAAGGCCUGAGGGUUGUAAAGCACUUUCAAUAGGGAGGAAAAAGCGUUGGUUAAGAGCUGAUGCCUUGACAUUACCUAUAGAAGAAGCACCGGCUAACUCCGUGCCAGCAGCCGCGGUAAUACGGAGGGUGCGAGCGUUAAUCGGAAUUACUGGGCGUAAAGCGUGCGUAGGUGGUUAAUUAAGUCAGAUGUGAAAGCCCCGGGCUUAACCUGGGAACGGCAUUUGAUACUGGUUAACUUGAGUUUAGGAGAGGAGAGUGGAAUUUCCGGUGUAGCGGUGAAAUGCGUAGAGAUCGGAAGGAACACCAGUGGCGAAGGCGGCUCUCUGGCCUAAAACUGACGCUGAGGUACGAAAGCGUGGGUAGCAAACAGGAUUAGAUACCCUGGUAGUCCACGCCGUAAACGAUGUCAACUAGCCGUUGGGUCUUUAUUAAGACUUAGUGGUGCAGCUAACGCAUUAAGUUGACCGCCUGGGAGUACGGCCGCAAGGUUAAAACUCAAAUGAAUUUGACGGGGGCCCGC
Molecule: ribosomal RNA, 720 nt
Filed under: uncultured bacterium
Lineage: Bacteria
Description: bacterial SSU rRNA
Rfam family: Bacterial small subunit ribosomal RNA
Source: RNAcentral